UGCUGUUUCGCUGACGAGUGGCGGACGGGUGAGUAAUGUCUGGGAAACUGCCUGAUGGAGGGGGAUAACUACUGGAAACGGUAGCUAAUACCGCAUAACGUCGCAAGACCAAAGAGGGGGACCUUCGGGCCUCUUGCCAUCGGAUGUGCCCAGAUGGGAUUAGCUAGUAGGUGGGGUAACGGCUCACCUAGGCGACGAUCCCUAGCUGGUCUGAGAGGAUGACCAGCCACACUGGAACUGAGACACGGUCCAGACUCCUACGGGAGGCAGCAGUGGGGAAUAUUGCACAAUGGGCGCAAGCCUGAUGCAGCCAUGCCGCGUGUAUGAAGAAGGCCUUCGGGUUGUAAAGUACUUUCAGCGGGGAGGAAGGGAGUAAAGUUAAUACCUUUACUCAUUGACGUUACCCGCAGAAGAAGCACCGGCUAACUCCGUGCCAGCAGCCGCGGUAAUACGGAGGGUGCAAGCGUUAAUCGGAAUUACUGGGCGUAAAGCGCACGCAGGCGGUUUGUUAAGUCAGAUGUGAAAUCCCCGGGCUCAACCUGGGAACUGCAUCUGAUACUGGCAAGCUUGAGUCUCGUAGAGGGGGGUAGAAUUCCAGGUGUAGCGGUGAAAUGCGUAGAGAUCUGGAGGAAUACCGGUGGCGAAGGCGGCCCCCUGGACGAAGACUGACGCUCAGGUGCGAAAGCGUGGGGA
Molecule: ribosomal RNA, 693 nt
Filed under: uncultured bacterium
Lineage: Bacteria
Description: bacterial SSU rRNA
Rfam family: Bacterial small subunit ribosomal RNA
Source: RNAcentral